CCUACGGGUGGCAGCAGUGGGGAAUAUUGGUCAAUGGGCGCAAGCCUGACCCAGCAACGCCGCGUGAGGGAAGAAGGCUUUCGGGUUGUAAACUUCUUUUCUUCGGGACGAAACAAGUGACGCUACCUGCGGAAUAAGCCACGGCUAACUACGUUCCAGCAGCCGCGGUAAUACGUAGGUGGCAAGCGUUCUCCGGAUUUAGGGGGUUUAAAGGUUGCGCAGGGGGAAGAUAAAGUCAGCGGGAAAAUUGAGAGGCUCAACCUCUUCGAGCCGUUGACACUGGUAUUCUUGAGUGAGUGAGAAGUAGGCGGAAUGCGUGGUGUAGCGGUGAAAUGCAUAGAUAUCACGCAGAACUCCGAUUGCGAAGGCAGCAUACCGGCGCUCAACUGACGCUGAUGCACGAAAGUGUGGGUAUCGAACAGGAUUAGAUACCCCUGUAGUC
Molecule: ribosomal RNA, 442 nt
Filed under: uncultured bacterium
Lineage: Bacteria
Description: partial 16S ribosomal RNA
Rfam family: Bacterial small subunit ribosomal RNA
Source: RNAcentral